Molecule: unclassified non-coding RNA, 258 nt
Filed under: uncultured fungus
Lineage: Eukaryota; Fungi
Description: partial contains 5.8S ribosomal RNA, internal transcribed spacer 2, and large subunit ribosomal RNA
Source: RNAcentral
AACGCACAUUGCGCCCUUUGGCAUUCCGAGGGGCAUGCCCGUUCGAGCGUCAUUAAACCCCCUCAAGCCUGGCUUGGUCUUGGGCGCCGGGGACCCCCCCGCGCCCCCAUGUCGCCGGCUGGCCGUCGUUGGACUUAGCGUUGUGACACAUGUCGCUGACGAACAACGACGGACCGCGCCGUGAGAACUCCCUUGGACGUCGUCCGACGUCCAGUACCGGUUGACCUCGGAUCGGGUAGGAAUACCCGCUGAACUUAA